Molecule: RNA transcript, 3123 nt
Organism: Neofelis nebulosa (Clouded leopard)
Lineage: Eukaryota; Metazoa; Chordata; Mammalia; Carnivora; Felidae
Gene: SETD4
Gene name: SET domain containing 4
Exons: 14
Source: RefSeq, a predicted model, not a curated record
UGGGCGCACGCGCACACGAAGGCGCAGGCGCAGUCGCACGCCAGGAAGCGCGGGCCACAGCACCGCGGGUCGCCUGAGGACUUGGGUUGGUCAGGACUCGAAGCGGGCGUGGCAGCUCGACCUCUCCGUGUGACGCUGGGCUCUUGCCUUAACCCACGUUUCCCUGGGGCGCUGAUUUUGGUUUCCUCGUGCGGUGUGCCCGGCGCCGCCGCCGCGAGGUACAAAGAACAGUGCUUAUCAUACAACUGGAAAGAAAGGCAAAGAAAAAGCUUUUAUAUUAGAUUGGGCACCUGAACAGAAACUGCAGUUUUGAUAUGAAGAUGGGAAGAGGAAGAACAAGCCGGGUCAGGAGACGGAAACUCUUCAGAAGUUCUGUAUCAAGAGGAGUGAAUGAGAGCUACAAGCCUGAAUUUAUAGAGCUUAAGAAGUGGCUGAAAGAUAGAAAGUUUGAAGAUACAAACUUAAUACCUGCUUGUUUUCCAGGUACAGGAAGAGGGCUGAUGAGCAAAACAUCCUUGCAGGAGGGACAGGUGAUUAUUUCGUUGCCUGAGAGUUGCCUGCUCACCACGGACACAGUGAUUAGAAGCUACUUAGGGGCGUACAUCGCUAAAUGGCGGCCUCCUCCAUCUCCUCUGCUGGCUCUGUGUACCUUUCUGGUUUCAGAAAAGCAUGCUGGGGACCAGUCCGUCUGGAAACCUUACCUAGAGAUUUUACCAAAGGCCUACACCUGCCCCGUUUGUUUGGAGCCAGAAGUGGUGAAUCUUUUUCCCCAACCUUUGAGAGCAAAGGCCGAAGAGCAGAGAGCCCGUGUGCGAGAGUUCUUUUCUUCCUCCAGAGGCUUUUUCUCUUCCCUGCAGCCUCUGUUUUCCGAGGCUGUUGGGAGCAUCUUUAGCUACCGUGCCCUCCUGUGGGCCUGGUGCACGGUCAACACCAGGGCCGUGUAUGUGAAGCACAGGCAGAGGCGCGACUUUUCCGCGGAGCCAGACACCUGUGCGCUCGCCCCGUACCUGGAUCUGCUGAACCACAGCCCCCGUGUGCAGGUAGAAGCGGCAUUUAAUGAGGAAACUCGCUGUUAUGAAAUUAGAACAGCUUCAAGCUGUAGGAAACAUGAAGAGGUGUUCAUCUGCUAUGGCCCUCAUGAUAAUCAGCGACUGCUCCUGGAGUAUGGAUUCGUUUCCAUCCAUAAUCCUCACGCUUGUGUUUAUGUCUCGGAAGAUAUACUUGUAAAAUAUCUUCCAUCAACAGAUAAACAGAUGAACAAGAAGAUUUCCAUUUUAAAGGAUCAUGACUUUAUCGAAAAUUUGACAUUUGGAUGGGAUGGACCAUCUUGGAGGUUACUCACAGCGCUUAAGUUGUUAUGUCUGGAAGCUGAAGAAUUUACAUGCUGGAAAAAAGUACUUCUUGGAGAAAUCAUUUCAGAUACAAAUGAGAAGACAAGUUUGGACACAGCCCAGAAAAUAUGCCAUUAUUUCAUAGAGGAGACCAAUGCAGUGCUUCAAAAGGUUUCUCAUAUGAAAGAUGAAGAAGUGGCUUCGAUAAACCAACUAACUUUGGUAGAAACAUUGUGGACAGAAGAGCUAAAGAUUCUGCAGGCCUCUGCUCUGAUUCUAAACAGUUUGCAAACACCUUUUAGAGAGAGUGCAAGCUGGGGAGGAGUAGAGAGAGAAGGAGACAGAGGAUCCGAAGCAGGGGCUCAAACCCACGAACUGUGAGAUCAUGACCUGAGCCCAAACCAAGAAUCGGAUGCUUAACUGACUGAGCCACCCAGGCGCCCCUUGUUUGCAUGUUCUAGUAGGCAACUUCAUCGACCUCAUUGGGCAGACUGGCGACAAGGAGCCAGGCAGCACCCAGGGACACAGUACAGCCUCUGCGACAGGGUGUGGAGGCUUUUUAAAGCCACAUAACCUAAUAGAAGGACACCUUCCUCCACGUUCCAGACGUGUAUACGUGUGUCCUCGUAAGGAAAGGACACAGGACGUCAGAGUUCAUGGCAAGGCACUGGCGAGGGUUCGAUUCGCUCCCAGCGAGGCCCAGCACUUUUAUUCCCAGUGGCGACGGGAGAGGGCGCUCUCGGAGGGCAGAGCCCCGGUCCGACCCAACCCGUUCCUUCUGCUCCUUCCGCUGCAACAUUCACCUCCGACUUACUUCUCUGCCCCGCUCAGGCCACCUUCCGAGAUCAGGUGAGAGCUUGCCUGUCCUCAAAAUGCACGGGUGGAGAGCCCGCUGCUCUCCUGCACUAGAGGGUGUGCCUCGCUUGCCCUUCCUUGUGGCAGAGUCAGAAAACAGUCUUGGGUUUGAGUCGUGGACUUGACCUCUUGCUGCCACUGUGGGCCUGGCCUUUGAGAUCCAGUGUCUCCAUCUGCGGCUGGGGUCGUAUUCCGGAGUCACUUCAAGGUGAGCUGCUGGCCUUAAAAAGUCCUUUGAUAUUUUGGUUUAAGCUGCUGUCCCGUUUGAGGCACCGACAGAUUCAAGUAACAGCUGGAGCCCUUUGUUCCUAACUCUCUCAUCUCAAGUUUCUGGGUGGAUUUCUUUUUGGAGAUAAUAGUCUAUGAAUCACCUUUGAAAUGAGAAUUUAUCAGCUUAGGCACUGUUCUCUUUGAAUUGUCAGAGUAAGAAUAAAAGUAACUCCCUGAAGUGUUGCUUCCUAGAUCCACUGCAAAGAUGGAGAGGAAUACCCCAGCCCCCUUCAUCCCCAUCGGGGACUAGGCUUGCUUGCUUUUUUAUUUGAGUAUCCUUGACACCCAAUGUUGCGUUAGUUUCAAGAGUAUAACGUAGUGAUUCAGGAAGUCUAUACGUUAUGCUGUGUUCACAAGUGUAGCUGCCAUCUGUUAACAUACAGGUCAUUACAACACCGCUGACUGUAUUCCCUGUGCUGUGCCUUUUAUCCCUGUGACUUAUCCGGUCCAUAAUGGGAAGCUUGAACGUGCCACUCCCCUUUGCCCAUUCGCCCCACACCCUUUCCCUCUGGCAACCAUCAGCUUGUUCUCUGUAUUUGUAGGCCUGAUUCUGCUUUUUGUCUGUUUAUUCAUUUUUUUUUUUAGAUUUCAUAUAUGAAUGAAACCAAACGCCUUUUGACUAUCUCAGUCUGACUUGUUUUAUUUAGUGUAAUACCCUGUAGGGUCA